GUGCCAGCAGCCGCGGUAACACGUAGGAUCCGAGCGUUAUCCGAAUUUACUGGGCGUAAAGCGCGUGCAGGCGGUUCGGUAAGUUGGAUGUGAAAUCUCCUGGCUCAACUGGGAGAGGACGUUCAAUACUGUCGGACUAGAGGAUGGUAGAGGGAGGUGGAAUUCCCGGUGUAGUGGUGAAAUGCGUAGAUAUCGGGAGGAACACCAGUGGCGAAGGCGGCCUCCUGGGCCAUUCCUGACGCUCAGACGCGAAGGCUAGGGUAGCGAACGGGAUUAGAUACCCUGGUAGUCC
RNAcentral lists this ribosomal RNA (292 nucleotides) under uncultured bacterium. Its description in RNAcentral is "partial 16S ribosomal RNA". It matches the Rfam family "Bacterial small subunit ribosomal RNA", at positions 505 to 796 of the family's 1533-position model. The record is from RNAcentral.